GUGUAGUUUUACUCUAUGCUUCUCUCCCGUAACCUGCGAGCUCCCAGGGCCUUUCUGCUGCUUCCUCUACCCCUGUAUUUCACUCGGGUCUCCAAAUUGACUUAGCUCCAGGCUGUACAGAAAACAUAACGCCAGCAACUGCUUCUGCAGAGGCCUCAGGAAGCUUCCAAUCAUGGCAGAAGGCAAAGGAGGAGCAGAUGUCUAACACGGUGGGAGCAGGAGCAAGAGAGAUAACCAGCGAGGUGUCACAUGUUUAAACAGCCAGAUCUUACGAGAAGUCACUCACUAUCUCGAGGACAGCACCAAGGGAAUGGUCCUAAGACAUUCAUGAGAAAUCCACCCCCAUGAUCCAAUCACCUCCCACUAGGCCCCACCUACUACAUUGGGGAUUAUAUUUCAACAUGAGAUUUGGGUGGAGCCAAUAUCCAAACUAUAUUAGCAGCUAUAGAAACUUGUCACCCAGAUCUGUUGCUGUGGGGAGCAGAAAUGACCUGAGUUCCAGCUGUUGUGAUCCACCACGGCCUUCACUCAGGGUUGCUUACAGCCAGUGACUGAACACAGUGGGGGUUACAGUAGAAUUCUGUUCUUGCAGGAUGCUCUCAGGACAUUAGUGGGGCCAUUGGCAACAUUGAAUAAGGUCUUUAUAUUAAGAUAUAGUAGUGAAUCAAUGUUAAUUUCUUGAUUUUGAUAAUUAAAUUGUGGUUAUGUAAGAGAAUGUCCUUGUGUUUAGGAAAUACGCAUAGGAAUGUUU
RNAcentral lists this long non-coding RNA (751 nucleotides) under Homo sapiens (human). RNAcentral describes it as "HSALNT0073947". Lineage: Eukaryota; Metazoa; Chordata; Mammalia; Primates; Hominidae. The record is from RNAcentral.